GUGAACAUAGUUUAUAAAAACACUAGCUUGUGAUUCUAGAGAAGGGGGUUAAUCACCCCCUGUUCACC
RNAcentral lists this transfer RNA (68 nucleotides) under Leptophryne borbonica (Java tree toad). RNAcentral's name for it is "tRNA-His". It matches the Rfam family "tRNA". From Rfam's summary of the family: Transfer RNA (tRNA) molecules are approximately 80 nucleotides in length. Their secondary structure includes four short double-helical elements and three loops (D, anti-codon, and T loops). Lineage: Eukaryota; Metazoa; Chordata; Amphibia; Anura; Bufonidae. The record is from RNAcentral.